UUUUAUUUGAGAGUUUGAUCCUGGCUCAGGAUGAACGCUGGCGGCGUGCCUAACACAUGCAAGUUGAGCGAUUUACUUCGGUAAAGAGCGGCGGACGGGUGAGUAACGCGUGGGUAACCUACCCUGUACACACGGAUAACAUACCGAAAGGUAUGCUAAUACGGGAUAAUAUAUUUGAGAGGCAUCUCUUAAAUAUCAAAGGUGAGCCAGUACAGGAUGGACCCGCGUCUGAUUAGUUAGUUGGUAAGGUAACGGCUUACCAAGGCGACGAUCAGUAGCCGACCUGAGAGGGUGAUCGGCCACAUUGGAACUGAGACACGGUCCAAACUCCUACGGGAGGCAGCAGUGGGGAAUAUUGCACAAUGGGCGAAAGCCUGAUGCAGCAACGCCGCGUGAGUGAUGAAGGCCUUCGGGUCGUAAAACUCUGUCCUCAAGGAAGAUAAUGACGGUACUUGAGGAGGAAGCCCCGGCUAACUACGUGCCAGCAGCCGCGGUAAUACGUAGGGGGCUAGCGUUAUCCGGAUU
This 525-nucleotide ribosomal RNA is filed under the name Clostridioides difficile. RNAcentral describes it as "bacterial SSU rRNA". It matches the Rfam family "Bacterial small subunit ribosomal RNA", at positions 1 to 551 of the family's 1533-position model. Lineage: Bacteria; Bacillati; Bacillota; Clostridia; Peptostreptococcales; Peptostreptococcaceae. The record is from RNAcentral.